UACGUAGGGGGCUAGCGUUGUCCGGAAUCAUUGGGCGUAAAGCGCGUGUAGGCGGUCCGGUAAGUCCGCUGUGAAAGUCGGGGGCUCAACCCUCGGAUGCCGGUGGAUACUGUCGGGCUUGAGUACGGAAGAGGCGAGUGGAAUUCCUGGUGUAGCGGUGAAAUGCGCAGAUAUCAGGAAGAACACCCGUGGCGAAAGCGGCUCUCUGGAACGGUACUGACGCUGAGACGCGAAAGCGUGGGGAGCGAACAGG
This 253-nucleotide ribosomal RNA is filed under the name uncultured bacterium. RNAcentral describes it as "partial 16S ribosomal RNA". It matches the Rfam family "Bacterial small subunit ribosomal RNA", at positions 524 to 776 of the family's 1533-position model. The record is from RNAcentral.